RNAcentral lists this ribosomal RNA (2784 nucleotides) under Enterobacter asburiae. RNAcentral describes it as "bacterial LSU rRNA". It matches the Rfam family "Bacterial large subunit ribosomal RNA". Lineage: Bacteria; Pseudomonadati; Pseudomonadota; Gammaproteobacteria; Enterobacterales; Enterobacteriaceae. The record is from RNAcentral.
GGGUUGUGAGGUUAAGCGACUAAGCGUACACGGUGGAUGCCCUGGCAGUCAGAGGCGAUGAAGGACGUGCUAAUCUGCGAAAAGCGCCGGCGAGGUGAUAUGAACCUUUGACCCGGCGAUGUCCGAAUGGGGAAACCCAGUGCAAUUCGUUGCACUAUCGUUAACUGAAUACAUAGGUUAACGAGGCGAACCGGGGGAACUGAAACAUCUAAGUACCCCGAGGAAAAGAAAUCAACCGAGAUUCCCCCAGUAGCGGCGAGCGAACGGGGAGCAGCCCAGAGUCUGAAUCAGCUUGUGUGUUAGUGGAAGCGUCUGGAAAGUCGCACGGUACAGGGUGACAGUCCCGUACACGAAAGCACACAGGCUGUGAACUCGAAGAGUAGGGCGGGACACGUGGUAUCCUGUCUGAAUAUGGGGGGACCAUCCUCCAAGGCUAAAUACUCCUGACUGACCGAUAGUGAACCAGUACCGUGAGGGAAAGGCGAAAAGAACCCCGGCGAGGGGAGUGAAAAAGAACCUGAAACCGUGUACGUACAAGCAGUGGGAGCACCUUCGUGGUGUGACUGCGUACCUUUUGUAUAAUGGGUCAGCGACUUAUAUUCUGUAGCAAGGUUAACCGUAUAGGGGAGCCGAAGGGAAACCGAGUCUUAACUGGGCGUUAAGUUGCAGGGUAUAGACCCGAAACCCGGUGAUCUAGCCAUGGGCAGGUUGAAGGUUGGGUAACACUAACUGGAGGACCGAACCGACUAAUGUUGAAAAAUUAGCGGAUGACUUGUGGCUGGGGGUGAAAGGCCAAUCAAACCGGGAGAUAGCUGGUUCUCCCCGAAAGCUAUUUAGGUAGCGCCUCGUGAACUCAUCUUCGGGGGUAGAGCACUGUUUCGGCUAGGGGGCCAUCCCGGCUUACCAACCCGAUGCAAACUACGAAUACCGAAGAAUGUUAUCACGGGAGACACACGGCGGGUGCUAACGUCCGUCGUGAAGAGGGAAACAACCCAGACCGCCAGCUAAGGUCCCAAAGUCAUGGUUAAGUGGGAAACGAUGUGGGAAGGCACAGACAGCCAGGAUGUUGGCUUAGAAGCAGCCAUCAUUUAAAGAAAGCGUAAUAGCUCACUGGUCGAGUCGGCCUGCGCGGAAGAUGUAACGGGGCUAAACCAUGCACCGAAGCUGCGGCAGCGACACUUAUGUGUUGUUGGGUAGGGGAGCGUUCUGUAAGCCGUUGAAGGUGGCCUGUGAGGGUUGCUGGAGGUAUCAGAAGUGCGAAUGCUGACAUAAGUAACGAUAAAGCGGGUGAAAAGCCCGCUCGCCGGAAGACCAAGGGUUCCUGUCCAACGUUAAUCGGGGCAGGGUGAGUCGACCCCUAAGGCGAGGCCGAAAGGCGUAGUCGAUGGGAAACAGGUUAAUAUUCCUGUACUUGGUGUUACUGCGAAGGGGGGACGGAGAAGGCUAUGUUAGCCGGGCGACGGUUGUCCCGGUUUAAGCAUGUAGGCGGAGGUUCCAGGUAAAUCCGGUACCUUUUAACGCUGAGGUGUGAUGACGAGGCACUACGGUGCUGAAGUAACAAAUGCCCUGCUUCCAGGAAAAGCCUCUAAGCAUCAGGUAACACGAAAUCGUACCCCAAACCGACACAGGUGGUCAGGUAGAGAAUACCAAGGCGCUUGAGAGAACUCGGGUGAAGGAACUAGGCAAAAUGGUGCCGUAACUUCGGGAGAAGGCACGCUGAUAUGUAGGUGAAGCCCCUGCGGGUGGAGCUGAAAUCAGUCGAAGAUACCAGCUGGCUGCAACUGUUUAUUAAAAACACAGCACUGUGCAAACACGAAAGUGGACGUAUACGGUGUGACGCCUGCCCGGUGCCGGAAGGUUAAUUGAUGGGGUUAGCGGCAACGCGAAGCUCUUGAUCGAAGCCCCGGUAAACGGCGGCCGUAACUAUAACGGUCCUAAGGUAGCGAAAUUCCUUGUCGGGUAAGUUCCGACCUGCACGAAUGGCGUAAUGAUGGCCAGGCUGUCUCCACCCGAGACUCAGUGAAAUUGAACUCGCUGUGAAGAUGCAGUGUACCCGCGGCAAGACGGAAAGACCCCGUGAACCUUUACUAUAGCUUGACACUGAACACUGGUCCUUGAUGUGUAGGAUAGGUGGGAGGCUUUGAAGCGUGGACGCCAGUCUGCGUGGAGCCAUCCUUGAAAUACCACCCUUUAAUGGCUGGUGUUCUAACGUAGACCCGUAAUCCGGGUUGCGGACAGUGUCUGGUGGGUAGUUUGACUGGGGCGGUCUCCUCCCAAAGAGUAACGGAGGAGCACGAAGGUUAGCUAAUCCUGGUCGGACAUCAGGAGGUUAGUGCAAUGGCAUAAGCUAGCUUGACUGCGAGAGUGACGGCUCGAGCAGGUGCGAAAGCAGGUCAUAGUGAUCCGGUGGUUCUGAAUGGAAGGGCCAUCGCUCAACGGAUAAAAGGUACUCCGGGGAUAACAGGCUGAUACCGCCCAAGAGUUCAUAUCGACGGCGGUGUUUGGCACCUCGAUGUCGGCUCAUCACAUCCUGGGGCUGAAGUAGGUCCCAAGGGUAUGGCUGUUCGCCAUUUAAAGUGGUACGCGAGCUGGGUUUAGAACGUCGUGAGACAGUUCGGUCCCUAUCUGCCGUGGGCGCUGGAGAAUUGAGGGGGGCUGCUCCUAGUACGAGAGGACCGGAGUGGACGCAUCACUGGUGUUCGGGUUGUCAUGCCAAUGGCACUGCCCGGUAGCUAAAUGCGGAAAAGAUAAGUGCUGAAAGCAUCUAAGCACGAAACUUGCCCC